AGAGUUUGAUCCUGGCUCAGGAUGAACGCUAGCUACAGGCUUAACACAUGCAAGUCGAAGGGCAGCAUUUUUAGUUUGCUUGCAAACUGAAGAUGGCGACCGGCGCACGGGUGAGUAACACGUAUCCAACCUGCCGAUAACUCCGGAAUAGCCUUUCGAAAGAAAGAUUAAUACCGGAUAGCAUACGAAUAUCGCAUGAUAUUUUUAUUAAAGAAUUUCGGUUAUCGAUGGGGAUGCGUUCCAUUAGUUUGUUGGG
RNAcentral lists this ribosomal RNA (256 nucleotides) under uncultured bacterium. RNAcentral's name for it is "partial 16S ribosomal RNA". It matches the Rfam family "Bacterial small subunit ribosomal RNA", at positions 8 to 253 of the family's 1533-position model. The record is from RNAcentral.